Long non-coding RNA from Nelumbo nucifera (sacred lotus), 1425 nucleotides. RefSeq lists it as uncharacterized. NCBI's taxonomy places the organism in Eukaryota, Viridiplantae, Streptophyta, Magnoliopsida, Proteales, Nelumbonaceae. The record is from RefSeq and is a predicted model, not a curated record.
ACUUCGAUUCUGUUAGUCAUAAGAAUAUCUCCCAAGUCCCAAGUGACGGAGAAAAUCACUCAGACCCACCUGCCAAAAGAAUCUAAUUCCUAAAGCCUCCGAUUUCCUGAGCGUGAAAGAUGAGUGGUGGUGCACGAAUUUGCAAAUUUGAGACGGCCUUCAAGUCCAUGCAGAAAAACGCCUUCACGGAAUCCGGGAAAGCCAACCAGAUCAGGCGGUUUUCCGCUACCAUGGUUCAGGCUGCUAAGAGAAGAAACGGCGACGAAAAGCGGAGGAGAGAAGCCGAGAAGGCCGAGAAUGUCAUGCACUUGAUCUGUUGGGGUCCCAAUUAAGCCCAAUCCUCAUUUUCUUUUUCCUCCUUUUCCUUCUAUUAUAUAUCCUUAAUUCUUUCUUUCUUUUCUUUUUCUGUGGCGAGCGAAAAUACUAUUUACAAGAUGUUUGUGUUAGAAAUUUGUAAAGAAGUUCUGUAAAAUCACAAACUUCACUACCAUAUACUAAACGUGUUCAUGUUCUUCUAGCUAACAGAAUCAAGUUGGGUAUAAAUAUGGUGUGAUCAUCGCAAAAGAAGUGGACCAUCGAUUGAGAAGUCAGAAUUGAUGCAUAUAACACCAAAUAUAUUGUUUCAAUCUAUACAUCGGAAAUUGAAUUCAAGCAUAGACAAACCAGAUGACACACUAUCGCCUCAUCUGAUCCACAUGAAAUAAGAGCUUCUAAUUUAAACACAGAUAAAUCUUUCUCUCCUCGACCUCGUCCUUUCUUCCCCUGUUUUACCCAGUUAACCAGUUAUCAGAAGAAGAAUGUUUUCAUUCAAACAUUGCAAGUGUCAUUCCAAUCUCCCUUUCUGAUUAAACCUUGAAAGUUUUCGAAGUAAACCAAGGCUUUUUACCAAGCAAGGAAGGCUCUUGGGGGAAGCUAGUGGUAACUGGUGAGAGGGUGUCAAGGAGAAGAAAUUAAAAGAGACGUAGUUUGUUGACCCUAUAAGAAGCCGGUAUGUGUUACUUCGGAUCUGCUACCCACAAGUUCCCACAUCCUUACGCACAGACUACCAGACGACGAGACCGGAUCUGCUCCUCACCCAGAGCGCCCUCACACCGACCUCACAGGUACAUUCCACCGUGUAGGAGCAGAUCCCAAUUCACAGAGGAGCACCGCGCAGCUGUAAUGUCUCUCGUGGGUAGCAGAUUCGAGCCCGGUAUGUGUAACGUUUUCUUUUCGAUUAACGGUGUAUGUAACAGUGUAAAGAAAAAUGGCGUGUUAGGAAAAAACAAUAAACAUUUUUCCCCCGUUCCCCCUUUUGCUGCCUGUAUUUCACUUUUGUGAGCUCGCCCUAGCACUCGGAGAUGAAUGACGAGUUAAUUCAAUAACUCGGACUUUUUGAUUCAGUAAUUUUAAGUGCAACAAGAGCUGAUAAACCAUACAUGAUUA